Molecule: ribosomal RNA, 356 nt
Filed under: uncultured bacterium
Lineage: Bacteria
Description: bacterial SSU rRNA
Rfam family: Bacterial small subunit ribosomal RNA
Source: RNAcentral
AGAGUUUGAUCAUGGCUCAGGAUGAACGCUAGCUACAGGCUUAACACAUGCAAGUCGAGGGGCAGCGAAGAGGUAGCAAUACCUUUGUCGGCGACCGGCGCACGGGUGAGUAACACGUAUGCAAUCCACCUGUAACAGGGGGAUAACCCGGAGAAAUCCGGACUAAUACCCCAUAAUAUGGGCGCUCCGCAUGGAGAGCCCAUUAAAGAGAGCGAUUUUGGUUACAGACGAGCAUGCGCUCCAUUAGCCAGUUGGCGGGGUAACGGCCCACCAAAGCGACGAUGGAUAGGGGUUCUGAGAGGAAGGUCCCCCACAUUGGAACUGAGACACGGUCCAAACUCCUACGGGAGGCAGCA